GACGAACGCUGGCGGCGUGCCUAAUACAUGCAAGUCGAGCGAAUGAUGAAGAAGCUUGCUUCUUCUGAUUUAGCGGCGGACGGGUGAGUAACACGUGGGCAACCUACCUUGUAGAUUGGGAUAACUCCGGGAAACCGGGGCUAAUACCGAAUAAUCCAUCUCUUCGCAUGAGGAGAUGUUAAAAGACGGCCUUGUGCUGUCACUACAGGAUGGGCCCGCGGCGCAUUAGCUAGUUGGUGGGGUAAUGGCUCACCAAGGCGACGAUGCGUAGCCGACCUGAGAGGGUGAUCGGCCACACUGGGACUGAGACACGGCCCAGACUCCUACGGGUGGCUG
RNAcentral lists this ribosomal RNA (336 nucleotides) under uncultured Bacillota bacterium. RNAcentral's name for it is "bacterial SSU rRNA". It matches the Rfam family "Bacterial small subunit ribosomal RNA", at positions 28 to 351 of the family's 1533-position model. The record is from RNAcentral. Lineage: Bacteria; Bacillati; Bacillota.